RNAcentral lists this transfer RNA (87 nucleotides) under Mogibacterium sp. Its description in RNAcentral is "tRNA-Leu". It matches the Rfam family "tRNA". Rfam says of the family: Transfer RNA (tRNA) molecules are approximately 80 nucleotides in length. The record is from RNAcentral. Lineage: Bacteria; Bacillati; Bacillota; Clostridia; Peptostreptococcales; Anaerovoracaceae. RNAcentral also lists the same sequence under 1 other name.
GCCGGAGUGACGGAAUUGGUAGACGUAGGGGACUUAAAAUCCCCCGAUAGAAAUAUCGUACCGGUUCGAGUCCGGUCUCCGGUACCA